RNAcentral lists this ribosomal RNA (1673 nucleotides) under Tuberoschistura baenzigeri. Its description in RNAcentral is "16S rRNA". It matches the Rfam family "Bacterial large subunit ribosomal RNA". Lineage: Eukaryota; Metazoa; Chordata; Actinopteri; Cypriniformes; Nemacheilidae. The record is from RNAcentral.
GCCAAACAGCUAGCUUAGUAAUUAAAAUAAUUUUAUACCAUAAAUAAUAUAUCAUCAACUAAAAUGAUAAACUAAAUCAUUCUACCACCCUAGUACGGGAGACGGAAAAGGUAAACCCAAGCGAUAGAGAAAGUACCGCAAGGGAAAGCUGAAAGAGUAAUGAAAUAAUUCACACAAGCCCUGAAAAGCAGAGCCUAACCCUCGUACCUUUUGCAUCAUGAUUUAGCCAGUACCUUAUAAGCAAAGUGCCCUUUAGUUUAUAGCCCCGAAACCAAGUGAGCUACCCCGGGACAGCCAAACGGGCGAACCCGUCUCUGUGGCAAAAGAGUGGGAAGAGCCCCGGGUAGAGGUGACAAAUCUACCGAACUUGGUGAUAGCUGGUUGCCUAAGAAAUGAAUAGAAGUUCAGCUUCAUACCCCUUAUAACAGCUAGGAAGCAUCCAAACAAGUACUAAGAGAGAAGUAUGAAAGUUAGUCAAAGGGGGUACAGCCCAUUUGACCAAGGACACAACCUUUUCAGGAGGAUAAAAAUCAAAUUUUACAAAAUAAGUCGCCUCAGUGGGCUUAAAAGCAGCCACCUGUACAAAAAGCGUUAAAGCUUAGAUGACACAAAAUUUAUUAUAUCGAUAAAAAACUUUAAUCCCCUACAAAUAUUAGGCCAUUCCAUGCUAACAUGGAAGAGAUAAUGCUAAAAUGAGUAACAAGAGGGUAAACCCUCUCCCAGCACAAGUGUAAUCCAGAUCGGACAACCCACUGGAAAUUAACGAACCCAAAAAAAGAGGGCAAAGUAAACAACAUAAAAAUCAAGAAACCCUUACUCUAAAACAAUCGUUUACCCUACACCGGUGUGCCACAAGGAAAGACUAAAAGAAAAGGAAGGAACUCGGCAAACACAAGCCUCGCCUGUUUACCAAAAACAUCGCCUCCUGCUAAUUACUAAAUAUAGGAGGUCCAGCCUGCCCGGUGACCACAAGUUUAACGGCCGCGGUAUUUUGACCGUGCAAAGGUAGCGCAAUCACUUGUCUUUUAAAUGAAGACCUGUAUGAAUGGCCAAACGAGGGCUUAACUGUCUCCCUUUUCAAGUCAGUGAAAUUGAUCUGCCCGUGAAGAAGCGGACAUAUGUAUACAAGACGAGAAGACCCUUUGGAGCUUAAGGUACAAGCCCACCUACGUCAAAUAACUUACUAAACAAGCACGAACAUAAUAGGAUAUGGAACUUUACCUUCGGUUGGGGCGACCAUGGAGAACAGAUAAUCCUCCAAGCGGAUAGGGACACACCCUAAAACCAAGAACCACAAUUCCAAGUCACAGAAAUUCUGACCGACUAUGAUCCGGCCCCAAGGCCGAUCAACGAACCAAGUUACCCUAGGGAUAACAGCGCAAUCCCCUCCAAGAGGCCAUAUCGACGAGAGGGUUUACGACCUCGAUGUUGGAUCAGGACAUCCUAAUGGUGCAGCCGCUAUUAAGGGUUCGUUUGUUCAACGAUUAAAGUCCUACGUGAUCUGAGUUCAGACCGGAGCAAUCCAGGUCAGUUUCUAUCUGUAUUGUCAUUUUUCCUAGUACGAAAGGACCGGAAAAAAGAGGCCCAUACUAAAAGCACGCCUCACCCCUAAUUAAUGAAAACAACUAAAUUAAAUAAAGGGCGGACUCAAAAUUAGACCAAAAUAAGGUCAC